GGUUGGGCAGGCAACUGCUUUCAAGUUUUGAGCUUUAAGGGUGGGGGGCU
This 50-nucleotide non-coding RNA is filed under the name unclassified sequences. RNAcentral's name for it is "Na+-I sequence". It matches the Rfam family "Na+ riboswitch aptamer (DUF1646)". From Rfam's summary of the family: Proteobacteria, NC10, Acidobacteria, Verrucomicrobia. Lineage (Clostridia) The riboswitch of Na+ was first reported in a comparative analysis of intergenic regions and called DUF1646 RNA, it was also suggested that it acts as cis-reg RNA present upstream of Na+ genes. The record is from Rfam by way of RNAcentral.